CCAGACUCCUACGGGAGGCAGCAGUGAGGAAUAUUGGUCAAUGGGCGGGAGCCUGAACCAGCCAAGCCGCGUGAAGGAAGAAGGCGCCAGGCGUCGUAAACUUCUUUUGUCGGGGAACAAAGGGCGCCACGCGUGGCGUUGUGAGUGUACCCGAAGAAAAAGCAUCGGCUAACUCCGUGCCAGCAGCCGCGGUAAUACGGGGGGUGCAAGCGUUGUCCGGAAUCAUUGGGCGUAAAGAGUUCGUAGGCGGCACGUAAAGUCUGGUGUUAAAGGCAGAGGCUCAACUUCUGUACGGCACUGGAUACUUGCGAGCUAGAAUGCGGUAGAGGUAAAGGGAAUUCCUGGUGUAGCGGUGAAAUGCUUAGAUAUCAGGAGGAACAUCGGUGGCGUAAGCGCUUUACUGGGCCGUAAUUGACGCUGAGGAACGAAAGCCAGGGUAGCAGAUGGGAUUAGAUACCCGCGUAAG
This 466-nucleotide ribosomal RNA is filed under the name uncultured bacterium. RNAcentral describes it as "bacterial SSU rRNA". It matches the Rfam family "Bacterial small subunit ribosomal RNA", at positions 331 to 793 of the family's 1533-position model. The record is from RNAcentral.